Molecule: non-coding RNA, 26 nt
Filed under: Trypanosoma brucei brucei
Lineage: Eukaryota; Euglenozoa; Kinetoplastea; Trypanosomatida; Trypanosomatidae
Source: RNAcentral
AUUAUAUAAGUGAGAUAUGAUAUAUU